AUUUGCUCUGCUCUGAAAGGCCCUUUUUUCUCCACUCUAGUUUCUAACUUCCCAUUACACACACUCCCUCUGAAAGGCACCGCGCCAGUGGAGCCGGUUCACUCUGUUCUCUCCUUUAUGACAGCUGUCAGUCUGUCGCCGCCUGAACAUGCAACAUUUCAACAAAAUCCAAAGCGGAAUUGGAAGGGCAGGGGCUGAAGCACACAGCCUGAUCUCCUUCCUGGAGGUCCCAGACUCCUUAACCAUCACCUUUUAACCUGCCGAAGUGGAGAUGGGGUUUCACCCUGUUGGCCAGCCUGGUCUGGAACUCCUGACCUCAGAGCCAUCUCUCAAAUUUUGCAGAAAGGUGGGGCUGGCGGUGGAUGCUGGAAACACUGCUGAGGAAGAGGGAAUGAGAGAAGAGCGAGCCUACAACUGAUCUAAAAUCCACCCCCUACCCCUGCAAGAAAGGAAGUGUCCACUACUGAUUCAUUGCAAGCUCUUUAGUGCGGCAGAACAAGGCAGAUGACCAUUCUACAAAGGGGAGGCAGCCGUGGUGGCCCAGAGUCAUUAGUUGAAGCUGCUGGAAUGAGGAUGACAUCUAGAGAGAAGUGAAUAUUCUCCACCUAAAGCAACCACGGCUCUUUGAAGAAGUGACUGAAUCCAAGGCUGGGACAUAUGGCAUUUUUGUGUGGGUGCCAGAAAGCAUGAAAGCACCCAAAUAAUGAUGGGGACAUGUCAAAAAGGCACAAAAGCCAGUGUACUACAAUAUAAGCAUCACAUAACUAAUCAUAGUAGCAUAUUUCAGCUCACUUAUUAAAAGAGGAAACUAUGAUUUUAUAUUGAUAUAAAUAGACCUAAAAUGUGUUGAGUAACUGAAUUUUACAUAUUCUCAAAAUAUCUACCCCUGAAAUUAUUAAUUAUAAAAGAAUAAGUACCUGUAUAAUUUGAGUACAGAAAAAAUGUUCUAAAUAACACUGAAAAUAUGAGGAUAAUAAAAGAAUAAUCUAUAAAUUUAAUCAAAUAAAACAAAUAAUAGAGUACUUUUAUAUGGCCAGAUCACCAUAAGCAAAGUUAAAAGACAAAUUACAAAUUGAAAGAAAAGACUUUGCAGUACAUAUAGCAGAUAAAGAACUAAUAUUAAUAAUACAAGGAAUAUUUAAAACCAGGGGAAGAGAAAAAAGGCAAUAGAAAUAUGAGCAAAAAGAUGAAGAAUUUACAAAGAAAAUAUUUAAAAUGAUCUUUACACAUAUGUUCACUUUCACUUGUAAAAUGAAAAAUAAAAAAUAACUACCCUGGAUCUAUUACUCAGCUCUGGAACUGGCAAAAAUUAAAGGUUUCACAACCCACUUUUUUGGUCAGGUGUUGGGGAAACACAAGAAUAGGAGAAAAGGAGUGAAAGAAGAAGAGAAAGGGAGAAGAGACAUUGAGUGAAUGAUAAAUCAUAUGGGACAAAACGUAACAAAUGGUGAAGCUUGGUAAGAAAUCUUGGUAAGUGGUGUACAAUAGUUAUUUGUACCAUGCUUGUAAUUCUUCUGUGAGUUUGAAAUAAAGUAUAAAAAUAAAAUGUUGAAGAAACUAACUUUUAAAA
Long non-coding RNA from Macaca mulatta (Rhesus monkey), 1570 nucleotides. RefSeq lists it as uncharacterized. The record is from RefSeq and is a predicted model, not a curated record. Lineage: Eukaryota; Metazoa; Chordata; Mammalia; Primates; Cercopithecidae.